RNAcentral lists this ribosomal RNA (465 nucleotides) under fungal sp. MT0838. Its description in RNAcentral is "eukaryotic LSU rRNA". The stretch from base 109 to 262 matches the Rfam family "5.8S ribosomal RNA". The record is from RNAcentral. Lineage: Eukaryota; Fungi.
ACCCAUGUUUUUUGAGCACUUACGUUUCCUCGGUGGGUUCGCCCGCCGAUUGGACCACUUAAACCCUUUGUAGUUUUGUAAUCAGCGUCUGAAAAACUUAAUAGUUACAACUUUCAACAACGGAUCUCUUGGUUCUGGCAUCGAUGAAGAACGCAGCGAAAUGCGAUAAGUAGUGUGAAUUGCAGAAUUCAGUGAAUCAUCGAAUCUUUGAACGCACAUUGCGCCCCUUGGUAUUCCAUGGGGCAUGCCUGUUCGAGCGUCAUUUGUACCUUCAAGCUCUGCUUGGUGUUGGGUGUUUGUCUCGCCUUUGCGUGUAGACUCGCCUUAAAACAAUUGGCAGCCGGCGUAUUGAUUUCGGAGCGCAGUACAUCUCGCGCUUUGCACUCAUAACGACGACGUCCAAAAGUACUUUUUACACUCUUGACCUCGGAUCAGGUAGGGAUACCCGCUGAACUUAAGCAUAUC